RNAcentral lists this unclassified non-coding RNA (203 nucleotides) under Hevea brasiliensis (rubber tree). The record is from RNAcentral. Lineage: Eukaryota; Viridiplantae; Streptophyta; Magnoliopsida; Malpighiales; Euphorbiaceae.
AAUAAAUCCUCUUAGCAUACCUGCUCUAAUCUUACGUCAAAAUGUAUUAAUGAGAACAAUGACACUUGUAUACUGUGGAAUAGCUCUUUGAUUGGGGUGAAUGAGAAUUGUACUUCUGAUUUUUGAGAUAUUAUGAGGAUUGAACUAAACAUCAAUUUGUCCAAGUUAUGGACUACUUGUUUGCCUGAGACAAUCCUGAUCAU